RNAcentral lists this ribosomal RNA (253 nucleotides) under uncultured bacterium. Its description in RNAcentral is "partial 16S ribosomal RNA". It matches the Rfam family "Bacterial small subunit ribosomal RNA", at positions 524 to 776 of the family's 1533-position model. The record is from RNAcentral.
UACGGGGGGGGCAAGCGUUGUUCGGAAUUAUUGGGCGUAAAGAGCUCGUAGGCGGCUUGUCAAGUCAUCUGUGAAAUCUCCGGGCUUAACUCGGAACGGUCAGCUGAUACUGCUUUGCUAGAGUGCAGAAGGGGCAAUCGGAAUUCUUGGUGUAGCGGUGAAAUGCGUAGAUAUCAAGAGGAACACCUGAGGUGAAGACGGGUUGCUGGGCUGACACUGACGCUGAGGCGCGAAAGCUAGGGUAGCAAACGGG